RNAcentral lists this ribosomal RNA (253 nucleotides) under uncultured bacterium. RNAcentral describes it as "partial 16S ribosomal RNA". It matches the Rfam family "Bacterial small subunit ribosomal RNA", at positions 524 to 776 of the family's 1533-position model. The record is from RNAcentral.
UACGAAGGGGGCUAGCGUUGCUCGGAAUCACUGGGCGUAAAGCGCACGUAGGCGGAUUUGUCAGUCAGGGGUGAAAUCCCGGGGCUCAACCUCGGAACUGCCUUUGAUACAGCAAGUCUUGAGUUCGAGAGAGGUGGGUGGAAUUCCUAGUGUAGAGGUGAAAUUCGAAGAUAUUAGGAAGAACACCGGUGGCGAAGGCGGCCCACUGGCUCGAUACUGACGCUGAGGUGCGAAAGCGUGGGGAGCAAACAGG